Mycena metata is the source of this 102-nucleotide non-coding RNA. The record is from the annotation of a GenBank genome assembly. Lineage: Eukaryota; Fungi; Basidiomycota; Agaricomycetes; Agaricales; Mycenaceae.
GGUUCGAUGGUGUAGUUGGUUAUCACUUCUGUCUAACAACUGUGGGAUUAUUCCCGUAACUUGUCGCACAGGCGGUCCUCAGUUCGAACCUGGGUCGAAUCA